GACGAACGCUGGCGGCGUGCCUAACACAUGCAAGUCAACGAGAAAGGGGUAGCAAUAUCCCGAGUAAAGUGGCGCACGGGUGAGUAACACGUAGGUAAUUUGCCAUCAGGACGGGGACAACCACGCGAAAGCGUAGCUAAUACCCGAUGAAGCAGCGGUGCCGCAUGGCAUUGUUGUUAAAUACCGCAAGGUGCCUGAUGAUAAACCUGCGUCCCAUUAGGUAGUUGGGAGGUAACGGCUCACCAAGCCGACGAUGGGUAGCUGGUCUGAGAGGAUGAUCAGCCACACUGGAACUGAGACACGGUCCAGACUCCUACGGGAGGCAGCAGUGAGGAAUAUUGCGCAAUGGCCGAAAGG
This 357-nucleotide ribosomal RNA is filed under the name uncultured bacterium. RNAcentral's name for it is "bacterial SSU rRNA". It matches the Rfam family "Bacterial small subunit ribosomal RNA", at positions 28 to 382 of the family's 1533-position model. The record is from RNAcentral.